Long non-coding RNA from Ostrinia nubilalis (European corn borer), 1871 nucleotides. RefSeq lists it as uncharacterized. The transcript is spliced from 2 exons. The record is from RefSeq and is a predicted model, not a curated record. Lineage: Eukaryota; Metazoa; Arthropoda; Insecta; Lepidoptera; Crambidae.
UGCCACCACCCGAUGGCCGUCAUCCCGUUCCAGCUGUUCCUAGUGGGACUCUGCGUGACAUUUGCCACGCCACUAUGCUGCGCUAUAUUCCCGCAGCGAGCCGCCAUCGAUGUAGAGAGCUUGGAGCCGGAGUUGAAGGCCAAGACAAAAUAUAAUUUCCCCAAAGCAAAAGAGCUGUACUACAACAAAGGGCUCUAAAGAGAUCGAAGCUGGAACUUCGUGCCAUAGACUAUUCUAAGAUGACUACUGCCCUUCUGUGACCGCAGGCCGCUCGCACACUUACGACUUUGUCGCACGCAACGAUAGAAAAGUCGGGCGGGAUCAAACAAUAUUGAGGCUUAUUUUAGAAACGCCUAAAGAGUAUUUCGCUCGUCUUUAUUUCUGAUAAAUGAGCUUACGUCCAAUAAUUCCAAAACAAGGUUUUUUUUGCUACGAUGAUGGCAGUAUAUUUAGCGAAAUUAUAUUUAUUGAAACUGCCGUCGUCCUAUUUAUUAUCAUUUGUCGUGAGUGUGUAGCGCGCCUUAUUUGAACACUUGUUAUAUUGGCUAUGCUAUACACUAAGGUAAGCUAUUUUAAGUGUUAGCCUAAAACAAUUAUAAUAGUUCUCAAUUAUAAUGAUAUGUUAUAUUAAAUUAUUCGUUAAACGGUUAUUGAUGUUGUUAAUUUUAACAUAAAUGUUAGAUUGUUAAGAUUUCAUGCAGGGCAAAGAUUAUCAUAGACUUAAUGUUAUUAUUCAUUCCAAUUUGUAAACUUCCAUUCCAUUUAUUUCUUUAAAAUAAUGUAUAUUAUUAUUACUUUUCUGUAUAUUAGCUAUUUUAACUAUUUAUAAGUUUUUGUAUGUUGCGUUGAUGUGUGAUAUUUUUUAUGCUCAAUAUUUUUGGUUGUGAUACACAUUUUAUGAUCUGAGCAAAUCCCGACUGCCCAUAUCUUUUGAUAACUCCCCUUUACAAAAAUGUGAAUGUAAUCAAAUCGUGGCCAUAAAAUUAUACGAGGGAGAUGUCACGUUUGACAUUGACAUUUGCACCGUUUGACGCUGUCAUAGACUAAAGAGCUCUAAUGAUUGUUUUAGAGAUAACGUGCAAUAAUUCCAAAGAUAUUGUUUAGGUUAUUGGAGAGUUUAUAAUUAGUUGUAGUUGAACGGUUUAAUCGAAUAUGCAAGUCCACUGUCAAAAAGUUAAAACAAAGAUAUUUUGAGAUUUGAAAUGAUAGGUCUAACGCUUAAGGCCCAGUUUUUUGAUUCUUAGUUAAAAUAACCAAUAGUUAAAUUUGACAGAUGUCAAAUGACAAGUGGUGAAAUAUCUGAAAAAAACGUUUUUCGAACAAUGGUUAGCUUGACUUUUAGUACAUUUUUAACUAUUAGUUUACAUUUGUUCAUAUUUAACCAUUAGUAGCAAAAUUUAACAAUUAGUUAUUUUAACUAUGAAUCAAAAAACUGGGCCUAACUGGGUCAUUGCUUGAGGUAUAGGAGCGGCACAGAAGGGUGUUUUUGAGAUGUCAUCAAGAUUUCAAAUGUGCGUCAGAUUUGUACGCUCUGUCACGUCACAAUAUGUCAAUUUCACACCUCCCAUGCCGCUCCCAUAACUCAGGCACUGGCUGAGUUAUACAGUAGAUUUAUUAUUCACAGUUUGACUAUGACAAUUUAUUAUUUACCUUAAAAUGUAAUUUCUGAAAUGGUCAAACUAGUCAAUUAAUGUUUUUAAUUGAAAAAAGCGGGUAAAAGACAGUGGACUGGUCGCUAAUUAGGUAAAUGUCAAUUGAUGUACCUUCUGCCGUGACAAUAACACUGGAAGUGACUUUAUCUGAGGCAAUGAAAGUGAUUGCUGUUAUUUACUAUGAACAAUGUACAAAAUAAAACGUACGAGUAUUUCAAA